GCUUCCGUAGCUCAGUUGGUUUUAGAGUGCGAGUUUCGUAAACUCGAGGUCCCGGGUUCGAUUCCCGGCGGAAGCU
RNAcentral lists this transfer RNA (76 nucleotides) under Nanobdellota archaeon. RNAcentral's name for it is "tRNA-Thr". It matches the Rfam family "tRNA". Rfam says of the family: Transfer RNA (tRNA) molecules are approximately 80 nucleotides in length. Their secondary structure includes four short double-helical elements and three loops (D, anti-codon, and T loops). The record is from RNAcentral. Lineage: Archaea; Nanobdellati; Nanobdellota.